GCCUGGCUGGCUCAGUUGGAGGAGUGUGGGACUCUUGAUCUCAAGGUUGUGAGUUCAAGCCCCACGUGGGUA
This 72-nucleotide transfer RNA is filed under the name Ailuropoda melanoleuca (giant panda). It matches the Rfam family "tRNA". From Rfam's summary of the family: Transfer RNA (tRNA) molecules are approximately 80 nucleotides in length. Their secondary structure includes four short double-helical elements and three loops (D, anti-codon, and T loops). Lineage: Eukaryota; Metazoa; Chordata; Mammalia; Carnivora; Ursidae. The record is from Rfam by way of RNAcentral.